UGCGUGUAUGUAUUACAUAUGUGUAUGUAUGUGUAAACCCAGAGUUUAUUAAGCGCACAGAGGAAUUCCUGGUAAUUAGCAGACUGGAUUUUGCCUGGUGUGCCUAGGACACUUCUUUCUCUGGACUACAGACUCCUGUGAAGUGCUUCCACUGACAUUCUGGCAAAGGCUGGAACAAGAAAAGGAAAUCUCCCCAGAGUUCGACCUGUAGGAUCAAACUCAUCAGCCCCCAAGUAAGAGAAACCUACUUACCCAUAAACAUGAUGGCUGCAA
RNAcentral lists this long non-coding RNA (273 nucleotides) under Chrysolophus pictus (golden pheasant). RNAcentral describes it as "lncRNA (ENSCPIG00010010767.1)". The record is from RNAcentral. Lineage: Eukaryota; Metazoa; Chordata; Aves; Galliformes; Phasianidae.